GUCCGUAGGCGGUGUGGCAAGUCGGUAGUGAAAUCUCUCGGCUUAACUGAGAGGCUGCUGCCGAAACUGCCAUGCUCGAGUGCGAGAGAGGCGAGUGGAAUUGCGGGUGUAGCGGUGAAAUGCGUAGAUAUCCGCAGGAACAUCCGAGGCGAAAGCGGCUCGCUGGAUCGCAACUGACGCUGAGGGACGAAAGCUAGGGGAGCAAACAGGAUUAGAUACCCUGGUAGUCCUAGCCCUAAACCAUCAGGACUUGGGGUUUGCCCUGUACGGGGCAAGUCCCGGAGCUAACGCGUUAAGUCCUGCGCCUGGGGAGUACGGUCGCAAGGCUGAA
RNAcentral lists this ribosomal RNA (331 nucleotides) under uncultured bacterium. Its description in RNAcentral is "bacterial SSU rRNA". It matches the Rfam family "Bacterial small subunit ribosomal RNA", at positions 567 to 898 of the family's 1533-position model. The record is from RNAcentral.